This 253-nucleotide ribosomal RNA is filed under the name uncultured bacterium. RNAcentral describes it as "partial 16S ribosomal RNA". It matches the Rfam family "Bacterial small subunit ribosomal RNA", at positions 524 to 776 of the family's 1533-position model. The record is from RNAcentral.
UACGGAGGGUGCAAGCGUUAAUCGGAAUUACUGGGCGUAAAGCGCGCGUAGGCGGCUAGAUAAGUCGGAUGUGAAAGCCCCGGGCUCAACCUGGGAACUGCAUUCGAUACUGUUUGGCUAGAGUAUGAGAGAGGGAGGUAGAAUUCCACGUGUAGCGGUGAAAUGCGUAGAGAUGAGGAGGAACACCAGUGGCGAAGGCGGCCACCUGGACAGUAACUGACGCUGAGGCGCGAAAGCGUGGGUAGCAAACAGG